AUGGUAACUACUGUCUAUGGGCCUCAAACAGAGCAGGACAAGAAAAGAUUUCUUGAGGAACUGGAAGGCAUUGGUGAACAGGUGCGGGGUCCGUGGAUUCUCAAUGGUGAUUUCAACCUGGUGAGGCACGAGGAAGAACGCAGCACGGGGAGAGCCAACAGAAGGAUGGUGAGCAAGUUUCGUCAUACCAUAAGCAAGUUGUGUCUGCACGAGAUGCCUCUGGUCGGAAGGAAAUUUACGUGGUGCAAUGGGCAGGAGCACCCAAUCAUGGCCAAGCUUGACAGGCUGUUUUUCAACAAUGCUUGGGAAGAUGUCUACCCGAUCAGUGAUCUACAUCCCUUGAGCUCAAGCAUCUCUGAUCACUGCCCCAUGCUGCUUUCCGUUUCAGCGGAUCGCCCGCGGUCCUAUAGAUUCAGAUUUGAA
RNAcentral lists this ribosomal RNA (423 nucleotides) under Triticum aestivum (bread wheat). RNAcentral describes it as "partial small subunit ribosomal RNA". The record is from RNAcentral. Lineage: Eukaryota; Viridiplantae; Streptophyta; Magnoliopsida; Poales; Poaceae.